GGUUAUGAUGAUUCCAGGUGACUCUGAGCGUGUCGCUGACGCCAUCACCGCAGCGCACUGACC
This 63-nucleotide small nucleolar RNA is filed under the name Sciurus carolinensis (gray squirrel). Its description in RNAcentral is "Small nucleolar RNA SNORD48". It matches the Rfam family "Small nucleolar RNA SNORD48". Rfam says of the family: U48 belongs to the C/D class of snoRNA which contain the C (UGAUGA) and D (CUGA) box motifs. Most of the members of the box C/D family function in directing site-specific 2'-O-methylation of substrate RNAs. RNAcentral also lists the same sequence under 1 other name. Lineage: Eukaryota; Metazoa; Chordata; Mammalia; Rodentia; Sciuridae. The record is from Rfam by way of RNAcentral.